GAUGGACGCUGGCGGCGUGCCUAAUACAUGCAAGUCGAGCGAACAGACGAGGAGCUUGCUCCUCUGACGUUAGCGGCGGACGGGUGAGUAACACGUGGAUAACCUACCUAUAAGACUGGGAUAACUUCGGGAAACCGGAGCUAAUACCGGAUAACAUGUUGAACCGCAUGGUUCAACAGUGAAAGACGGUCUUGCUGUCACUUAUAGAUGGAUCCGCGCCGCAUUAGCUAGUUGGUAAGGUAACGGCUUACCAAGGCAACGAUGCGUAGCCGACCUGAGAGGGUGAUCGGCCACACUGGAACUGAGACACGGUCCAGACUCCUACGGGAGGCAGCAGUAGGGAAUCUUCCGCAAUGGGCGAAAGCCUGACGGAGCAACGCCGCGUGAGUGAUGAAGGUCUUCGGAUCGUAAAACUCUGUUAUUAGGGAAGAACAAAUGUGUAAGUAACUAUGCACGUCUUGACGGUACCUAAUCAGAAAGCCACGGCUAACUACGUG
RNAcentral lists this ribosomal RNA (497 nucleotides) under uncultured bacterium. Its description in RNAcentral is "partial 16S ribosomal RNA". It matches the Rfam family "Bacterial small subunit ribosomal RNA", at positions 28 to 507 of the family's 1533-position model. The record is from RNAcentral.